CGUACAGCCCAUUAAGGAAUGACGUAACACGUAAGGACCGUCAGGCCCAGUUAAGAGAGCUACGUAUUGGAUAAGAAUGGCAACUGAUCGUUCCGAGCGGACUGUUCUACGAAAGGGUGACCUUUGUUAAAAGUGGCCUAAAAACUGAACCUACGAUAAACGACUGUGGACACCUAAAGCUGAUACGCCGCAAAGUCAAUUGUAUCCAUAUUAUCAUUAUUAUUCAAAUUGUCUCCCAGCAUUUAUACUGCAAAAUGUGAAGAAAUUAUCCGAAGAUGCACCUGGACGUAGAGGCUACAGCCAAAUAAGUCUUCAUUUGCUCACAUUGAAGUGCUGAUUAGCUGUUCUUCAUGAAGUGAUUAUGUUUCGCUGUAUUGACGUAUCUUCAUAACGCUGUAAAAAUACUUCUCAUAGACACUAACAGUCGUGUUACUUCAGCUGCUUGAACCAACUGUAAAGUCUCGGCAAAUGUAUCA
Long non-coding RNA from Varroa destructor (honeybee mite), 476 nucleotides. NCBI's taxonomy places the organism in Eukaryota, Metazoa, Arthropoda, Arachnida, Mesostigmata, Varroidae. The record is from RefSeq and is a predicted model, not a curated record.